Molecule: ribosomal RNA, 1162 nt
Filed under: Xylaria sp. genotype 219
Lineage: Eukaryota; Fungi; Ascomycota; Sordariomycetes; Xylariales; Xylariaceae
Description: eukaryotic LSU rRNA
Rfam family: Eukaryotic large subunit ribosomal RNA (bases 575-1162)
Source: RNAcentral
GGAUCAUUAAAGAGUUUAACAACUCCUAAACCCCUGUGAACUUAUUAGGUUGGACCAUCGCCAGAGAUAGUCUGGUUUCUGCACGUAGAUCGCCUGCCCGUGACAGGGUACGCUUUUGCCGCGGGGCCGUAGUUAAAUCAUCUGUUCCACAAGGCCUUGCCUCGUGGACGGCAGAUUUAUCUGUGGAAGAUGUCCUCUAACUAUAUGCUUAUUAUAAUAAAUACUCUGACUAAAAUAAACUUAAAUAAGUUAAAACUUUCAACAACGGAUCUCUUGGUUCUGGCAUCGAUGAAGAACGCAGCGAAAUGCGAUAAGUAAUGUGAAUUGCAGAAUUCAGUGAAUCAUCGAAUCUUUGAACGCACAUUGCGCCCAUUAGUAUUCUAGUGGGCAUGCCUGUUCGAGCGUCAUUUCAACCCUUAAGCCCUCGUUGCUUAGCGUUGGGAGCCUACGGCCUGCCGUAGCUCCUCAAAGGUAGUGGCGGAGUCGGUUCACACUUUAGACGUAGUAAAAAUCUUUAUCUCGCCUAUAGAUGAGUCGGCGCCUUGCCGUAAAACCCCUAAUCUUUUCACAAGGUUGACCUCGGAUCAGGUAGGAAUACCCGCUGAACUUAAGCAUAUCAAUAAGCGGAGGAAAAGAAACCAACAGGGAUUGCCCUAGUAACGGCGAGUGAAGCGGCAACAGCUCAAAUUUGAAAUCUGGCCUUCGGGUCCGAGUUGUAAUUUGUAGAGGAUGCUUUGGGCGCGGUGCCUUCCGAGUUCCCUGGAACGGGACGCCUUAGAGGGUGAGAGCCCCGUACGGUUGGACACCAAGCCUCUGUAAAGCUCCUUCGACGAGUCGAGUAGUUUGGGAAUGCUGCUCUAAAUGGGAGGUAAAUUUCUUCUAAAGCUAAAUAUUGGCCAGAGACCGAUAGCGCACAAGUAGAGUGAUCGAAAGAUGAAAAGCACUUUGAAAAGAGGGUUAAAUAGCACGUGAAAUUGUUGAAAGGGAAGCGUUUGCGACCAGACCUUUUCCCAGCGGAUCAUCCGGUGUUCUCACCGGUGCACUUCGCUGGGUUGAGGCCAGCAUCGGUUUCCGCAGGGGGAUAAAAGCCUGGGGAACGUAGCUCCCUCGGGAGUGUUAUAGCCCCUCGCAUAAUACCCUUGCGGGGAUCGAGGACCGCGCU